UACGGAGGGAGCUAGCGUUGUUCGGAAUUACUGGGCGUAAAGCGCACGUAGGCGGCUUUGUAAGUUAGAGGUGAAAGCCCGGGGCUCAACUCCGGAACUGCCUUUAAGACUGCAUCGCUUGAAUCCAGGAGAGGUGAGUGGAAUUCCGAGUGUAGAGGUGAAAUUCGUAGAUAUUCGGAAGAACACCAGUGGCGAAGGCAGAUCUCUGGGCCUUACCUGACGCUGAGGAGCGAAAGCUAGGGGAGCAAACGGG
Molecule: ribosomal RNA, 253 nt
Filed under: uncultured bacterium
Lineage: Bacteria
Description: partial 16S ribosomal RNA
Rfam family: Bacterial small subunit ribosomal RNA
Source: RNAcentral